RNAcentral lists this transfer RNA (76 nucleotides) under Pelodictyon phaeoclathratiforme BU-1. RNAcentral's name for it is "tRNA-Thr". It matches the Rfam family "tRNA". From Rfam's summary of the family: Transfer RNA (tRNA) molecules are approximately 80 nucleotides in length. Their secondary structure includes four short double-helical elements and three loops (D, anti-codon, and T loops). The record is from RNAcentral. Lineage: Bacteria; Pseudomonadati; Chlorobiota; Chlorobiia; Chlorobiales; Chlorobiaceae.
GCUGAUGUAGCUCAGUCGGUAGAGCACUUCCUUGGUAAGGAAGAGGUCAUCGGUUCGAAUCCGAUCAUCAGCUCCG